CGGGGAGAAGCUCUCAGGGCCGUCGGGGAUACUCCGCUCUCUCCGGCUUCGAGCGCUGUCAGUGCUGGGACGCCGGGCUGGCUCCUAGCUGCGAGGCGGGCAGCAGACGGGUUAUUAGGGUUAUUAGUGUUAUUGUCAUUAUCUCUCCCUUCCCCUGUGGUUGUGUGUCUCUCCACCACUUUCAGACCAGCCCAUUAUAACGCCGGCGAGAGGCGGAGCCAGGACAAAGAUCUGAAAGGGUGGUGGGUGGAGAAGCAAGGUAGCAAAGGUCCCUCCCCUUGCCGGGUAUUUCGAACGAAGCCGCAGUUCGGCGCGACUAAGCAGAUCCGGCCCGCCUCCCAGCAACCUUCUCUCCAUCCUAGAGCUCCUGAUGUCUCAAGCCAUCAAUUCAUGGGAAUAACCUGUUCCAGAUACCUUGUUGUACCUCUCACACCACACACCGAGUUUUCACUAUCAGUGGCAGGCCUGGGAGACAGAAGGGUGUUCCCCAAUACCUCAGAAAGUGAGCUGAAAAGGUUGUAA
Molecule: long non-coding RNA, 522 nt
Filed under: Zonotrichia albicollis (white-throated sparrow)
Lineage: Eukaryota; Metazoa; Chordata; Aves; Passeriformes; Passerellidae
Description: lncRNA (ENSZALG00000014506.1)
Source: RNAcentral